CCGUAGCCCAAGAGAUCGGGAUAACACCUGGAAACAGAUGCUAAUACCUGAUAACAACAGAUGAUGCCUAUCAACUGUUUAAAAGAUGGUUCUGCUAUCACUCUUGGAUGGACCUGCGGUGCAUUAGCUAGUCGGUAGGGUAACGGCCUACCAAGGCGAUGAUGCAUAGCCGAGUUGAGAGACUGAUCGGCCACAUUGGGACUGAGACACGGCCCAAACUCCUACGGGAGGCAGCAGUU
This 239-nucleotide ribosomal RNA is filed under the name uncultured Lactobacillus sp. RNAcentral describes it as "partial 16S ribosomal RNA". It matches the Rfam family "Bacterial small subunit ribosomal RNA", at positions 125 to 355 of the family's 1533-position model. The record is from RNAcentral. Lineage: Bacteria; Bacillati; Bacillota; Bacilli; Lactobacillales; Lactobacillaceae.